RNAcentral lists this transfer RNA (72 nucleotides) under Ovis aries (sheep). It matches the Rfam family "tRNA". Rfam says of the family: Transfer RNA (tRNA) molecules are approximately 80 nucleotides in length. Their secondary structure includes four short double-helical elements and three loops (D, anti-codon, and T loops). Lineage: Eukaryota; Metazoa; Chordata; Mammalia; Artiodactyla; Bovidae. The record is from Rfam by way of RNAcentral.
UCCCUGGUGGCUCAGACGGUAAAGCAUCUCUCUGCAAUGCAGGAGACCCGGGUUCGAUCCCUGGGUUGGGAA